RNAcentral lists this small RNA (174 nucleotides) under Rhizobium skierniewicense. Its description in RNAcentral is "sRNA Atu_L1". It matches the Rfam family "Rhizobiales sRNA Atu_L1". Lineage: Bacteria; Pseudomonadati; Pseudomonadota; Alphaproteobacteria; Hyphomicrobiales; Rhizobiaceae. The record is from RNAcentral.
CCUGUAUAAUGACGAGACCGAGCACGGUUUGGAUGAACGCGGUGUAAAAAGACCCAUAAAUGAUAUAGGUCGCAACUGCAAACGCCAGCAAAGCACACAUCAUACUGAUGAAAACGCGCGGCGCGUACAUGUCUUUCUCCUCCGCCAAGCAUACUCUCACUAUUGAGGUGUGCU